AGGGCGUGUGAGGCUGUUUGUUUAGGUCAGAGGGAGUUGCAUGCAUUGAGGUGGCCCCUGCUCGCCCAGCUGCCUCCCAGGUGGCCUGUCGAUGCAGCCCCCUGAGCUGGUGGCGUGGGUUCAUUCACAGGUUCUCCGGGCACAUCCCCAAACCCAGGAGCCUGCCAGAGAUGAGAAUUAGAAAAGAUGAGAUGCUGCAAACACAGCUCUGCUUCCUCAGCAUUGGCUCUCAUCCUGGAAGUAUAUCCUCUUACGGGUUCAAAAUGUCUGCUAGCACAUAAUGGGGCCACAUGCUCGCAUUCAAGCCCUGCAGGGAAGAAGACUGGAUCUCCACAUGCCUGUCUUGGCUUCUGUUGUCACGUCUCCUCUGAUUCUGAUCCUCCUGCUUCCCUCGUGACUACGUGGACCCACCUGGAUAAUUCAGGACAAUCUCUCCAUCUCAAGGUCCUUAACUUAAUUACACCUACAAAGUUCCUUUCGGCAGCAAUUUUUUCCCUCUCACUUGCUCACCUGAUGAAGUCAGCGCCUAUGUUGUGAGCUACCUUAUGGGGAGGCCAAGGACUCAUGAGAAACAGAGGUCCUCAGUUCAACAGGCCCCAAGGAGCUGAAUCCUGCCAACAACAAAAUGAGUGAGCAUUGAAAUGGACUCUUCCUCAGUUAAGCCUUGAGAUGGCUGCAGCUGUGUAGAAACCCAGAACCAGAGGAGCCACCUGAACUGUGCCAAAUUCCUAAACUAUAGAAACUAUCAGAUUAAAAUAUGCUGUUCUAAGCCACUAAGUUUUGGAGUAAUUUGUUACCAACAGACAACUAAUACAGUAUCCUAUCUAAAAGAUCAGUUUCAACCACAGCCUUGCUCCAUUUUUUUUUAUGCUUGGAGGGUGGACAAGUCACCAAGGUUGCACAACUUUGUUAAGAACUAAGAUUA
RNAcentral lists this long non-coding RNA (925 nucleotides) under Equus caballus (horse). RNAcentral describes it as "lncRNA (ENSECAG00000049155.1)". Lineage: Eukaryota; Metazoa; Chordata; Mammalia; Perissodactyla; Equidae. The record is from RNAcentral.